This 425-nucleotide ribosomal RNA is filed under the name uncultured Nitrosomonas sp. RNAcentral's name for it is "bacterial SSU rRNA". It matches the Rfam family "Bacterial small subunit ribosomal RNA", at positions 198 to 604 of the family's 1533-position model. The record is from RNAcentral. Lineage: Bacteria; Pseudomonadati; Pseudomonadota; Betaproteobacteria; Nitrosomonadales; Nitrosomonadaceae.
GGAGGAAAGCAGGGGAUCGCAAGACCUUGCGCUAGAGGAGCGGCCGAUGUCUGAUUAGUUAGUUGGUGGGGUAAAGGCCUACCAAGGCAACGAUCAGUAGCUGGUCUGAGAGGACGAUCAGCCACACUGGGACUGAGACACGGCCCAGACUCCUACGGGAGGCAGCAGUGGGGAAUUUUGGACAAUGGGCGAAAGCCUGAUCCAGCCAUGCCGCGUGAAUGAAGAAGGCCUUCGGGUUGUAAAGUUCUUUUAGUUGGAAAGAAAAAAUUAUGAUGAAUAAUCAUAAUUCAUGACGGUACCGACAGAAAAAGCACCGGCUAACUACGUGCCAGCAGCCGCGGUAAUACGUAGGGUGCAAGCGUUAAUCGGAAUUACUGGGCGUAAAGGGUGUGCAGGCGGCCUUGUAAGUCAGAUGUGAAAGCCCC